Panicum virgatum (switchgrass) is the source of this 369-nucleotide long non-coding RNA. RefSeq lists it as uncharacterized. Lineage: Eukaryota; Viridiplantae; Streptophyta; Magnoliopsida; Poales; Poaceae. The transcript has 2 exons. The record is from RefSeq and is a predicted model, not a curated record.
CUCGGCUUAGUGAUGCAACAUCAAUAGCUUAUGCCUAGGUGUUUGCUCCUAACCAAGUAUGGCCAAAAAGGAACUCAUUUGCUGCUAGAAUUUAGGGUCGUGCUUUCCUUCAAAGUCCUAGUUGUUGAAAUAAUUGAAUAUAGAUGUUCUCAGGGCUCUGUACAAAGACCAAGAACCAAGUGCAUCGAAUUUGUUUGAGUGCCUUUGUAGAAAAAAAAGAGAAAUGAUACACCUUAUGUAUAGAUUGCCAUUGCAUGUUAGCUUUCAAAUACAACUCAUUGCAAUUCUAGAUGAAAAUUUUUUAGGGGAUUUGCUGUUGUAUGUGAUGAAAUGCUCUAUCAAACAUUUAUGUGAUGAGAUGUUAAUUUA